AUUGAACGCUGGCGGCAGGCCUAACACAUGCAAGUCGAGCGGAUGAAGGGAGCUUGCUCCUGGAUUCAGCGGCGGACGGGUGAGUAAUGCCUAUGAAUCUGCCUGGUAGUGGGGGAUAACGUCCGGAAACGGGCGCUAAUACCGCAUACGUCCUGAGGGAGAAAGUGGGGGAUCUUCGGACCUCACGCUAUCAGAUGAGCCUAGGUCGGAUUAGCUAGUUGGUGGGGUAAAGGCCUACCAAGGCGACGAUCCGUAACUGGUCUGAGAGGAUGAUCAGUCACACUGGAACUGAGACACGGUCCAGACUCCUACGGGCGGCAGCAGUGGGGAAUAUUGGACGCUGGGCGAAAGCCUGAUCCAGCCAUGCCGCGUGUGUGAAGAAGGUCUUCGGAUUGUAAAGCACUUUAAGUUGGGAGGAACGGCAGUAAGUUAAUCCCUUGCUGUUUUGACGUUACCAACAGAAUAAGCACCGGCUAACUUCGUG
This 484-nucleotide ribosomal RNA is filed under the name uncultured bacterium. RNAcentral's name for it is "partial 16S ribosomal RNA". It matches the Rfam family "Bacterial small subunit ribosomal RNA", at positions 30 to 507 of the family's 1533-position model. The record is from RNAcentral.